CCAGGAUCUCCUGCUCCAUGCGGCGCCGGCUCUUGCGGGGACUCGGCUCGCGCUCGGAGCUCUCAGACCCGCACAGACGUUCAUCAUGACCCGGCGAGGAAGGGGGUGACGUCAUGGAGCAGCAGAAGGUGAUGCUUCUUCUUCUUCUUCUUGGGAUGUUGCGGGGCUGCGUCACACGCGCCGCUUUCAUCCUGGUAUGGGGGUCCCGUGCAUCACGCGUAGAGUGACCGCGCAGCUCCUGGUUUGGCUCCGUAUUUUCGUCAGGAUGUGGUCACAGGUGCACCAAGGAGGAGGAGGAGGAGGAGAUGCUCCGCGCAGCAUCAGGACCUCUGGAGUCUGGAGCUGCGCGGCUCCCUCUGAGGCUGGGAUCACGUGAGGACUGACCGGCUCGUGGAUCUCUGGUGUUUUCCCCCUCUAGAGCCCCAGCUCCGCCCCCCACCAGCACGCGGGACGCGCACCCCCACGUCCAUCAAAUGCUGGCAGCCCGUGGAGAAGAGCAGAACCUCAGAAGGAUGGAGUUUGCUGGAGUUACGCAGACCAACAGCCGGGAGUCUGAGCGCGUGCGUGAUGUCGCCUUUGUAAAAACAAGUUAAAAGAGAGCGAGGGCAGCUCCCGCCCGCGCGGACGGACGGAUGGAGGGCUCCUGCGGGAGCUGCGUGAAGGAAGGGCCCAGAAAGGUUUCUGCUUGGAUCGGAUCGAGUCAUGAUGUCAUCCGGACUAUCGGAACUGCUGAGUCCAGAUUCUGAAGGGACCUGAAGUGGAUCCAUGAGCUUCGUCCGUGUUGCUGCUGUUUGGAGAGAGCAGUGAGGUUCUGUCAGGGGUUGCAGGAAAAGGAAGAAGAGGAGGCAGCAGAGGAGGAACAACGAGAGGCAGAGUGGGUGGUGAAAUGCAUGGAGAGAAGGACUGAAGCCGUUGGAGGAGGUGGCUGAAGUGAACCCAGAGCAGGUGAACGCAGCUGUGGAUCGCCAUGGGCUCUCUGGCUGCUAUCCUCUCAUGGCCCCAGUGUUGCAUCCAGGGGUCCCAUGGAGCUUGCAGGGGCCAGCCAAGGCAGCAGCAGAGUGGGCAGAGUGGGCCAGCCGAGCCAGAAGAGAGGCAGGUGAGGCGGGUGAGCUCUGUUCUCGUUCCCGCUGGCUAGGAGCCUCCUCGGCAGAACGGAGCAGCAGAAAUCAAUACAGAGGAGAGAGGCUAGCAGAGGUUGCCCAGCACCGCCUGCGGGCCUCAGAGCCCAGGGACCAACCACCACCACUCCCAUCUCCUCUCUCCAUCUCUCCUCUUUUCAACAGCAGUCCCACCGCCAGCCUGGGUUAAGGCGCUAACCUUGUAACUGCUCCACAUGCAGUGUGUGUGUCAGAACAUUCAUUUUGUGUGUGAAAAACAGAGAAAUCAAGAGAGAAGAUAAAGAAGCGAUGUGUGGUUCUGCUGGAGGGGGUUUUCUCUCUGGCGCCCAACAUCACUUGAUAAAACUUUGUCAAAGAGACACAGGGACAGCCAACAAUAGAAGCAGCACCAGAAGAAGACACGACGAAGGACUCCUUUGCUUCUUCUUCACUCCUCCAUCACUCCUGGAAUUCAGUGGACUUUUCAGCUCAGUCCCAUUUCCAAGCAGUAUUCCUCAGAUCUCUUGAGCCAGGAUGAAAGACUAGCUGAACUUUUUCUCUCAUCUACAGUAACAGCCACAACCUGUCUUUUGCCUUAGAUUUUCUUGCCUUCACAAGAGCAGCUCUCAUCAGAGGUUUGGCAGAGCCGUAUCGAUCUGAAAGGUGGAAAAGAGAGAGUUUGAGCGGGGCUUUCAUACUUCUGGAGAAAUGGCAUCUGAAGUCCACUUCCUGCUCUGCAGCAGAGAUGCCAGGACACUGGACUCUGUUUUCACCCCUCAAACAUCCAAAAGGAUCAUUCUGAACUGAGAGUCAGCUUUCAAUAGACACUCAAUAGAACUACAGAAAAUAAUGAGGAAGUGAAAGGGCUGAUUUUGGAUCAGUGAACACAUGAACAUCUUCAGUACAGAGAAAGCAAGUCAAAUCACAGCUAAAAGCUCGGCUUUGGAGCUUUUUAUUCACACGUUGAGCGCUGGAUGUACCAAAAAGGAUGAAUUAAGAGUGGCUACUUCCAGAGAUAAAUUCACCUCUUUAUGCAGUCUAUGAAACGCCACCGGGAUGAUGAAAAGCAGUGGUUCCACUGAGCCUUGAAAAGAAAGCAAACUGCCCGUAGCCCAUUCUUCUGAAUGUAAUAAGUUCUGGCUUCACAUGGAAAAUGCCACGUCCACGUCUUUACCAUCCACCCAUGAGAGGGCCCGAGUGAGCCAAACGGCAUUUCAACAAAGGUAAGCUUGGAGGUAUAAGAAAUUUAUUCAUAGAAACCAUUUUUAAAAUAUUAUCAAUAUGAAAUUGUACAAAACUGAUCUUCUAGGGCUGGGUAUCGAUAUUUAUUUCCAGAAACGAUUCAAUUCGAUUUUUUUUUUUAUUCUUCAAUUCAAUUUGGACUUGGAGUUGGAUAUUGUUGAUAUCAUCCAGUGUUACAUGGAUUCUCUAAAGGAGAAGUUCUAACUAAAAUGUUCAGAUCAUUAACAUUGGAAACAUUGUUCUGCUUCUCCUGGAGGACGUUUCAGUCUGACCACUAGGUGGAGAUCACGCUAUAGCAUUACACCUUAUUCCAGAAGAAGGAUGUUUUAGACCAAAAAUAGUUACUUUCAAACAAAUAUGUCCUUAAUAGAGUUUGGCAAAUUCAUGUCUGUGAGUUUAUAAAGAUGUUCAUUUAGUCAGAAUGUAUGUUUGGGUCGACUGAGCGUUAGCAUUAGCCACCCUAUGGGAAAUUCCAUUAAACCUUAGCAUCACGCUAGCAGACUUAAGCUUUAUGUGCUAAAUUGAUUUAUAUUUUUAUGAAUCGAUUAUUGAUCUAUUAAGCUUAAAUCGAUUCAAAUUGAUUAAUCGAUUUUAUCAACCCAGCCCUACGAUCUUCCCUUUUUCUGUCAUUUAAAAUCAAGUCUUUAAAAAAAAAAGUAGUUUCCUUUAAAAGAUUCAAUCAUUUUCAAUGUGUAAAUGAAAAUUUAUUGAAAAACAUGUAUGGACCAGUUCAGGUGUUCUGAAUAAAGUUCAUAACAAUGUGACAUGAAAAACUCUCUCAGUUGUUGUGUUUU
This is a long non-coding RNA of Oryzias melastigma (Indian medaka), 3133 nucleotides long. RefSeq lists it as uncharacterized. The record is from RefSeq and is a predicted model, not a curated record. The transcript is spliced from 4 exons. NCBI's taxonomy places the organism in Eukaryota, Metazoa, Chordata, Actinopteri, Beloniformes, Adrianichthyidae.